This is an unclassified non-coding RNA of Callithrix jacchus (white-tufted-ear marmoset), 299 nucleotides long. It matches the Rfam family "Metazoan signal recognition particle RNA". Rfam says of the family: The signal recognition particle (SRP) is a universally conserved ribonucleoprotein. It is involved in the co-translational targeting of proteins to membranes. The record is from Ensembl. Lineage: Eukaryota; Metazoa; Chordata; Mammalia; Primates; Cebidae.
GUUGGUGGGGUGGGGAGUGCCUGUAGUCCCAGCUACUCUGGAGGCUGAGGUAGGAGGAUCGCUUGAGGCCAGGAGGACUGGGCUGUAGUGUGCUAUGCUGAUCAGGCGUUUGCUCUAAGUUUGGCAUCAAAAUGGUUACCUCCCGGGAGCGGGGGACCACCAGGUUGCCUAAGGAGGGGUGAACUGGCCCAGGUUGGAAACGGAGCAGGUCAAAACUCCCGUGCUGAUCAGUAGUGGGAUCGCACCUGUGAAUAACCACUGCACUCCAGCCUGGGCAACAUAGCCAGACCCCAUCUCAA